GACGUAGGGCGCGAGCGUUGUCCGGAUUUAUUGGGCGUAAAGAGCUCGUAGGCGGCUUGUCGCGUCGAAUGUGAAAUCUCAGGGCUCAACUCUGACAUUGCAUUCGAUACGGGCAGGCUCGAGUUCGGUAGGGGAGACUGGAAUUCCUGGUGUAGCGGUGAAAUGCGCAGAUAUCAGGAGGAACACCGGUGGCGAAGGCGGGUCUCUGGGCCACUACUGACGCUGAGAAGCGAAAGCAUGGGGAGCAAACAGG
This 253-nucleotide ribosomal RNA is filed under the name uncultured bacterium. Its description in RNAcentral is "partial 16S ribosomal RNA". It matches the Rfam family "Bacterial small subunit ribosomal RNA", at positions 524 to 776 of the family's 1533-position model. The record is from RNAcentral.